AGACGUCUACAUUAGAUACCCCUGUAGUCCCAGCCGUAAACGAUGCGCGUUAGGUGUAUCGACGACCACGAGUCGUCGAGGUGCCGAAGGGAAACCGUGAAACGUGCCGCCUGGGAAGUACGGUCGCAAGGCUGAAACUUAAAGGAAUUGGCGGGGAGCACCACAACGGGUGGAGCCUGCGGUUUAAUUGGACUCAACGCCGGGAAGCUCACCGGAUAAGACAGCGGAAUGAUUGCCGGGCUGAAGACUCUGCAUGACUAGCUG
Molecule: ribosomal RNA, 264 nt
Filed under: uncultured archaeon
Lineage: Archaea
Description: partial 16S ribosomal RNA
Rfam family: Archaeal small subunit ribosomal RNA
Source: RNAcentral